GUAUCACGAAAGUUUGAUUUCUGAGGGAUACAGGGCACUUAUAUACAGUGGAGAUCAUGAUUCACGCGUACCUUUACACUGGCACUGAAGCAUGGACCAGGUCACUCGGAUGCAAAAUUGUCGACGAAUGGAGGUCGUAAAUCUCCAACGAGCAGGUCGCUGGGUAUCUGCAAGGGUAUGACCACAA
Molecule: long non-coding RNA, 187 nt
Organism: Syzygium oleosum
Lineage: Eukaryota; Viridiplantae; Streptophyta; Magnoliopsida; Myrtales; Myrtaceae
Exons: 3
Source: RefSeq, a predicted model, not a curated record